This 606-nucleotide long non-coding RNA is filed under the name Piliocolobus tephrosceles (Ugandan red Colobus). RNAcentral's name for it is "lncRNA (ENSPTEG00000016039.1)". The record is from RNAcentral. Lineage: Eukaryota; Metazoa; Chordata; Mammalia; Primates; Cercopithecidae.
CCCCGCGCGUCUCCCUCCUCCUCCCGUCCCUCGCUCGCUUGGCUCACUGUCGGCGCGCUAAGGUGACGACGGCGGCUGCCGGACUCGCAGCGUUCGGCCUACUCUCGCUCUGGCCCUGAGUGCAUGUUCGCAGUGCCCAGCCGGGCCGCAGGGGGGCGCUGGCAAACUGCUGUUUGCGACCGAGAAGCGUGGUGGGUGGAGUCACGUCACGCGGCCUGUGAGCGGGAGGAAGGGCAGCUGCGAUGGAGGGGCCUUCUGGGAAACGUCCUUCCUGCCCCGCCUUUCGCCCACGCUGCGGAUGGUGCGCCUGCGCAGUGCGUGGACUUUGGCCUCAGCGCUCUUUUGGCAGUUUUACAGGCUGCGUCGUGGAGGACAAUGAAAGAGGCUUUAAGGUGACUGGACAGGAAGGAUUUUGCUCAGGGAAGAGGCGAUACAGACACAGACAUGUGUGCACACAGAAGGAAGACCAUAAAAACAGAGACAAGACAGCCAUCUACAAGUUAAGUAGAGAGGGCUCUGAAGAAGCACUCCUGCCAACACCUUGAUCUUGGACUUUAAGCCUCCAGAACUGUGAGAGAAUAAAUUUCUGUUUGUUGAAGCCUCCCA